UGGGGAAUAUUGGACAAUGGGCGAAAGCCUGAUCCAGCCAUGCCGCGUGUGUGAAGAAGGUCUUCGGAUUGUAAAGCACUUUAAGUUGGGAGGAAGGGCAGUAAGCGAAUACCUUGCUGUUUCGACGUUACCGACAGAAUAAGCACCGGCUAACUCUGUGCCAGCAGCCGCGGUAAUACAGAGGGUGCAAGCGUUAAUCGGAAUUACUGGGCGUAAAGCGCGCGUAGGUGGUUCGUUAAGUUGAAUGUGAAAGCCCCGGGCUCAACCUGGGAACUGCAUCCAAAACUGGCGAGCUAGGGUAGGGCAGAGGGUGGUGGAAUUUCCUGUGUAGCGGUGAAAUGCGUAGGUAUAGGAAGGAACACCAGUGGCGAAGGCGGCCACCUGGGCUCAUACUGACCCUGAGGUGCGAAAGCGUGGGGAGCAAACAGG
RNAcentral lists this ribosomal RNA (429 nucleotides) under Pseudomonadota bacterium. RNAcentral's name for it is "Proteobacteria bacterium partial 16S ribosomal RNA". It matches the Rfam family "Bacterial small subunit ribosomal RNA", at positions 355 to 776 of the family's 1533-position model. Lineage: Bacteria; Pseudomonadati; Pseudomonadota. The record is from RNAcentral.